UACGGCGGUCAUAGCGAAGGGGAAACGCCCGGUCCCAUUCCGAACCCGGAAGCUAAGCCCUUCAGCGCCGAUGGUACUGCACCCGCCAGGGUGUGGGAGAGUAGGACGCCGCCGGACAAUCAUUCAACGAAAGGCCCACCCCUGACCGGGGUGGGCCUUUCGUCGUUCCC
This 170-nucleotide ribosomal RNA is filed under the name Cellulomonas sp. KH9. The record is from RNAcentral. Lineage: Bacteria; Bacillati; Actinomycetota; Actinomycetes; Micrococcales; Cellulomonadaceae.